This 103-nucleotide small nuclear RNA is filed under the name Zalophus californianus (California sea lion). Lineage: Eukaryota; Metazoa; Chordata; Mammalia; Carnivora; Otariidae. The record is from RNAcentral.
UUGCUUUAGCAGCACAUAUCCUAAAAUUGGAAUAGUACAGAGAAGAUUAGUAUGGCUCCUGUGUAAGGAUGGUGUGCCAAUUCAUGACACGCCCUAUAUUAAA